GGGUUGCUAACUCAACGGUAGAGUAUUCGGCUUUUAACCGACUAGCUCCGGGUUCGAGUCCCGGGCAACCCA
RNAcentral lists this transfer RNA (72 nucleotides) under Justicia latiflora. RNAcentral's name for it is "tRNA-Lys". It matches the Rfam family "tRNA". Rfam says of the family: Transfer RNA (tRNA) molecules are approximately 80 nucleotides in length. Their secondary structure includes four short double-helical elements and three loops (D, anti-codon, and T loops). Further hydrogen bonds mediate the characteristic L-shaped molecular structure. tRNAs have two regions of fundamental functional importance: the anti-codon, which is responsible for specific mRNA codon recognition, and the 3' end, to which the tRNAs corresponding amino acid is attached (by aminoacyl-tRNA synthetases). tRNAs cope with the degeneracy of the genetic code in two manners: having more than one tRNA (with a specific anti-codon) for a particular amino acid; and 'wobble' base-pairing, i.e. permitting non-standard base-pairing at the 3rd anti-codon position. The record is from RNAcentral. RNAcentral also lists the same sequence under 3 other names. Lineage: Eukaryota; Viridiplantae; Streptophyta; Magnoliopsida; Lamiales; Acanthaceae.